UUAGCUCAUCUUUGUAUGGAAUGGGAUCGUUUGCCUACGUUUGCCGCUAGGGGCGCUGUUCCAACUGCAUACAAAAUUGUGUUA
Non-coding RNA from Bombyx mori (domestic silkworm), 84 nucleotides. The record is from Rfam. Lineage: Eukaryota; Metazoa; Arthropoda; Insecta; Lepidoptera; Bombycidae.